This 100-nucleotide non-coding RNA is filed under the name Picochlorum sp. RCC944. The record is from RNAcentral. Lineage: Eukaryota; Viridiplantae; Chlorophyta; Trebouxiophyceae.
UCGUCGUCCUCCUCAUGUCCUCCCGCUGGUUUUGAUUCCAUCUCCAACUUCAACUUGAGUGCCUGGACGGAUCAUCCUUGGUUCAUUCAGGAGCAGAUGG